GUCUACGGCCAUACCACCCUGAAUAAGCCAGAUCCCAUCUGAUCUCAGAAGCUAAGUGGGGUUGGGCCUGGUUAGUACUUGGAAGGGAGACCACCUAGGAAGACCAGGUGCUGUAGGCA
RNAcentral lists this ribosomal RNA (119 nucleotides) under Pteropus alecto (black flying fox). The record is from RNAcentral. Lineage: Eukaryota; Metazoa; Chordata; Mammalia; Chiroptera; Pteropodidae.